CGGCCUUGGCCUCGUCCUCUGGGUGCUGCCGGCAAGGAGGCGAGGGGCGAGGCGGGCCGUGGCGGCGCUUGUACGCCGGCCGUGCAGCGUCCGGUGCUGCUGAGCGGUGGGCCAGCGCUCUGCUGGACCCGCUGGACAGUGGGCGGCCUCGGCCUCUGGGUGGUGCCGGCAAGGAUGCGAGGGGCGAGGGGCACGAUGGCUCCGCUGGGUAGGCCAUGUAGGCGUGUCCCUUCAUCCGUCCAGACCCCCAUCGGAACAGUCCCCGGGUGGCGUCGCGCGGCGUUUGUAUGCGUGUGCGCUGCCCCUCCUUUCUCUGCCGAAGCGGUCGGCGAGGACGCCCCCCCAGGAUUCGAUGCGCGCGCCAGCCAUGGGUGCAGAGGCGGCCAUAGAUUCGGCUACCUAGGCCUAGGAGCGCCCAUUGCAGGAAGGUGGCUCAACUGAUUUUGAUUUGGAUCCUUCCUUUGCUUGAUCUCAUGCCGUGAUUAUUGAGUGAUUGCAUCUAAUGCUCUUAUCUCUAGGCCUUUUCGAUUGUUUAUGUUCAGUGCCUGUUGUGCCUUGCAUCAGUAGAAGGACAUUGUGAUUACAUCUCGUGCUUUUUCUUAUGACUUCAGCAAGCUUCUUGGGUUUGAGCAGCAGCAUCUCAGGAUCCGGAGUAGCAUGUGGGCGGCACACGUUAGAGUGGCGGCGCAGCAUGUGGAACUGGCAGGCUCCCCAAGCGACAAAAAGGCCGAGUGAAACUGCAGUGACUCUCCUUCAGAUCCUAGCACAGGAGAUGGGUGCCAGCUAGCCAUGAAAUUGUUGAUCGAGUGGGAAUCCUUCUGAGAUUGGCAAGGAUUGGAAGGACUUGGAAUUGAUUCAAUUUGUUGAUAUUAAAACUUGCAUUGAGAGACAAGAUGAUGGCGUACAGUUGUGAUAGAUUGAUUACCUUUCAAGCAUUUAUGCUCUUGCUCUCUACUGGCAGUAUUUAUGCAUGUUUCAUGGCAUUUAUUCUUUUUUUCUUGGGUAAGCAUGUUUUUUAAAUCAUUUGCAGUGUUUUGCAAGCAAUGAAAUAUUCUAUGAGAGUUCUAACUGUAACAUAAAGUUAUAUUGAACUUAGCAAAACAAGAAUGCAGUCGAAAUUGUCAGUUUUCUAAAGUUCUGCAAUGUGUUUCAUGCGGAGCCUCAAAUAUCGUUUUGAUGUUAGGGCCAAUCGCUUGCAAGUCCCACCAUCGAAGGUGUGUGGUGCCAUCCCAUAUUGUUUGUUUUUCUACUAAUUUUCUCCGAGUCAAUGUGUUGGUUGUGUCUUGAUUUGCUAGUUUCGGCCAUGGUUUGAUAUAUAAUGCCCACCGUCUCAUAUGAUUGAUUUUUAUCUAGGGCAAUGGAUGUAUAUUCUUCAGUUGCAAAUAAUGAAAGAAAACAACAAUAACCUCACUGAGCUCAAUUGCCGUAUCUGUUCUGGAGAAUGUUUGAGCUACAGUUUGCCAAAAAAUUGAACACCACUUACAAGAAAAUUGAACUGUAUGCAGAUUCAAAGAUGUUUAUCUCACUGAGCUCAAUUGCCGCCUCUGUUCUUUUUUUUGGGAUAUUUGUGUGGUGUUCAGUGCACUAAAAAUCCAAAAAGGUGGAUUACCAAUGUAUCUCUAGAGAUCUCAUAUGUUUUCAUUUCACUUUUCAAGGAACAUUUAGGAAAGCAACAUAGAGAGACGUUCUGCUGGUCUCUGUUAAGAAGCUUGAUGAUGAAGAACCAUCGUCAAUGGCUGAUGUGCCAGAAUUACAAUAACCAAAAGACGAGACGAAUUAUUACAAUCAUUUGAUGGGUAUUGCUGGCAGUCUCCCUGCUUUAGCUUGGGUUGCAUCCUUAGGAAAAGAUUGUGAUUAAAAGUUGACAUUUUUUGCACUGCGUGAGUAUGUUAUUUAAGUUAACAAGUAAUGGAGUGCAUAUGCCUAUUUUAUGUAGAAAAAUUAUGACUGUUAUAUAAGAUAUGGUGUGCCUAA
Long non-coding RNA from Panicum hallii, 1974 nucleotides. RefSeq lists it as uncharacterized. NCBI's taxonomy places the organism in Eukaryota, Viridiplantae, Streptophyta, Magnoliopsida, Poales, Poaceae. The record is from RefSeq and is a predicted model, not a curated record. The transcript has 5 exons.